Molecule: ribosomal RNA, 492 nt
Filed under: uncultured bacterium
Lineage: Bacteria
Description: partial 16S ribosomal RNA
Rfam family: Bacterial small subunit ribosomal RNA
Source: RNAcentral
AGUGAAUGCUGGCGGUAGGCCUAACACAUGCAAGUCGAACGGCAGCACAGUAAGAGCUUGCUCUUACGGGUGGCGAGUGGCGGACGGGUGAGGAAUACAUCGGAAUCUACUUUUUCGUGGGGGAUAACGUAGGGAAACUUACGCUAAUACCGCAUACGACCUACGGGUGAAAGCAGGGGAUCUUCGGACCUUGCGCGAUUGAAUGAGCCGAUGUCGGAUUAGCUAGUUGGCGGGGUAAAGGCCCACCAAGGCGACGAUCCGUAGCUGGUCUGAGAGGAUGAUCAGCCACACUGGAACUGAGACACGGUCCAGACUCCUACGGGAGGCAGCAGUGGGGAAUAUUGGACAAUGGGCGCAAGCCUGAUCCAGCCAUACCGCGUGGGUGAAGAAGGCCUUCGGGUUGUAAAGCCCUUUUGUUGGGAAAGAGAAGCAGCAGGUUAAUACCCCGCUGUUCUGACGGUACCCAAAGAAUAAGCACCGGCUAACUUCGUG